Molecule: long non-coding RNA, 293 nt
Filed under: Elaeis guineensis (African oil palm)
Lineage: Eukaryota; Viridiplantae; Streptophyta; Magnoliopsida; Arecales; Arecaceae
Description: long non-coding RNA (EGUI_LNC063680)
Source: RNAcentral
GCUCGAUGGUUCCUAAAGCCAAGAUUGGAACUUGACUUCCAUCUCUCAUAUUUAGAAAUCUCUCAUUGUUCUCAAACUUUCUACUAACUUGAAGUCCUUGCAAUGAAUUGCAUAUGUGAACUGGACUUUCAGUAUCCAAUAUCUAGGUAGUAGUAUCACAUAUAGAGAAAUUAUGAGGUGUUAUCAUAUAAGCACUUUGACCAACAACUAAUUAUUCAUUUCUCUUUAGCCUAUUUAGGUCAUAGUCUGCUUGACUCGUUUCAACUCUAAAUUUUUUAGCUAGAUUGGGCUCA